AACAAGGUUUCCGUUGGUGAACCAGCGGAGGGAUCAUUA
This 39-nucleotide ribosomal RNA is filed under the name Stachybotrys chartarum. RNAcentral describes it as "partial 18S ribosomal RNA". Lineage: Eukaryota; Fungi; Ascomycota; Sordariomycetes; Hypocreales; Stachybotryaceae. The record is from RNAcentral. RNAcentral also lists the same sequence under 9 other names.